UUAAGCGACUAAGCGUACACGGUGGAUGCCCUGGCAGUCAGAGGCGAUGAAGGACGUGCUAAUCUGCGAAAAGCGUCGGUAAGGUGAUAUGAACCGUUACAGCCGGCGAUGUCCGAAUGGGGAAACCCAGUGCAAUUCGUUGCACUAUCGUUAACUGAAUACAUAGGUUAACGAGGCGAACCGGGGGAACUGAAACAUCUAAGUACCCCGAGGAAAAGAAAUCAACCGAGAUUCCCCCAGUAGCGGCGAGCGAACGGGGAGCAGCCCAGAGUCUGAAUCAGCUUGUGUGUUAGUGGAACGGUCUGGAAAGUCCGACGGUACAGGGUGAUAGUCCCGUACACCAAAAUGCACAGGUUGUGAACUCGAAGAGUAGGGCGGGACACGUGGUAUCCUGUCUGAAUAUGGGGGGACCAUCCUCCAAGGCUAAAUACUCCUGACUGACCGAUAGUGAACCAGUACCGUGAGGGAAAGGCGAAAAGAACCCCGGCGAGGGGAGUGAAAAAGAACCUGAAACCGUGUACGUACAAGCAGUGGGAGCACCUUCGGGUGUGACUGCGUACCUUUUGUAUAAUGGGUCAGCGACUUAUAUUCUGUAGCAAGGUUAACCGUAUAGGGGAGCCGCAGGGAAACCGAGUCUUAACUGGGCGUUAAGUUGCAGGGUAUAGACCCGAAACCCGGUGAUCUAGCCAUGGGCAGGUUGAAGGUUGGGUAACACUAACUGGAGGACCGAACCGACUAAUGUUGAAAAAUUAGCGGAUGACUUGUGGCUGGGGGUGAAAGGCCAAUCAAACCGGGAGAUAGCUGGUUCUCCCCGAAAGCUAUUUAGGUAGCGCCUCGUGAACUCAUCUUCGGGGGUAGAGCACUGUUUCGGCUAGGGGGUCAUCCCGACUUACCAACCCGAUGCAAACUACGAAUACCGAAGAAUGUUAUCACGGGAGACACACGGCGGGUGCUAACGUCCGUCGUGAAGAGGGAAACAACCCAGACCGCCAGCUAAGGUCCCAAAGUCAUGGUUAAGUGGGAAACGAUGUGGGAAGGCACAGACAGCCAGGAUGUUGGCUUAGAAGCAGCCAUCAUUUAAAGAAAGCGUAAUAGCUCACUGGUCGAGUCGGCCUGCGCGGAAGAUGUAACGGGGCUAAACCAUGCACCGAAGCUGCGGCAGCGACGCUUAUGCGUUGUUGGGUAGGGGAGCGUUCUGUAAGCCGUUGAAGGUGGCCUGUGAGGGUUGCUGGAGGUAUCAGAAGUGCGAAUGCUGACAUAAGUAACGAUAAAGCGGGUGAAAAGCCCGCUCGCCGGAAGACCAAGGGUUCCUGUCCAACGUUAAUCGGGGCAGGGUGAGUCGACCCCUAAGGCGAGGCCGAAAGGCGUAGUCGAUGGGAAACAGGUUAAUAUUCCUGUACUUGGUGUUACUGCGAAGGGGGGACGGAGAAGGCUAUGUUAGCCGGGCGACGGUUGUCCCGGUUUAAGCAUGUAGGCGGAGGUUCCAGGUAAAUCCGGUACCUUUUAACGCUGAGGUGUGAUGACGAGGCACUACGGUGCUGAAGUAACAAAUGCCCUGCUUCCAGGAAAAGCCUCUAAGCAUCAGGUAACAUUAAAUCGUACCCCAAACCGACACAGGUGGUCAGGUAGAGAAUACCAAGGCGCUUGAGAGAACUCGGGUGAAGGAACUAGGCAAAAUGGUGCCGUAACUUCGGGAGAAGGCACGCUGGUGUGUAGGUGAAGUCCCUGCGGAUGGAGCUGAGACCAGUCGAAGAUACCAGCUGGCUGCAACUGUUUAUUAAAAACACAGCACUGUGCAAACACGAAAGUGGACGUAUACGGUGUGACGCCUGCCCGGUGCCGGAAGGUUAAUUGAUGGGGUUAUCCGUAAGGAGAAGCUCUUGAUCGAAGCCCCGGUAAACGGCGGCCGUAACUAUAACGGUCCUAAGGUAGCGAAAUUCCUUGUCGGGUAAGUUCCGACC
This 1961-nucleotide ribosomal RNA is filed under the name human gut metagenome. Its description in RNAcentral is "bacterial LSU rRNA". It matches the Rfam family "Bacterial large subunit ribosomal RNA", at positions 1 to 1988 of the family's 2925-position model. The record is from RNAcentral.